AGGGCACCACCAGGAGUGGAGCCUGCGGCUUAAUUUGACUCAACACGGGAAAACUUACCCGGCCCGGACACUGGCAGGAUUGACAGAUUGAGAGCUCUUUCUUGAUUCAGUGGGUGGUGGUGCAUGGCCGUUCUUAGUUGGUGGAGCGAUUUGUCUGGUUAAUUCCGAUAACGAACGAGACUCUAGCCUACUAAAUAGGCCACCGGCUUACUGACGUCGGUGGGACUUCUUAGAGGGACAGGCGGCGAUUCAGCCGCACGAAACAGAGCAAUAACAGGUCUGUGAUGCCCUUAGAUGUCCGGGGCCGCACGCGCGCUACACUGAAGUGAUCAGCGUGCAUUACAAACCUGCUCCGUCAGGAGUGGGGAACCCAAUGAACCUUCUUCGUGAUUGGGAUAGGGGAUUGUAAUUAUUCCCCUUGAACGAGGAAUUCCCAGUAAGCGCGAGUCAUAAGCUCGCGUUGAUUACGUCCCCGCCCUUUGUACACACCGCCCGUCGCUACUACCGAUUGAAUGAUUU
RNAcentral lists this ribosomal RNA (519 nucleotides) under uncultured eukaryote. RNAcentral describes it as "SSU rRNA". It matches the Rfam family "Eukaryotic small subunit ribosomal RNA", at positions 1161 to 1699 of the family's 1831-position model. The record is from RNAcentral.